GCCUGCUCCCGCAAGAAGCCAAGAAGGCGGCACCGCCGUCGCCGCUGGCGGCCACCGUCGCCGUCGCACCUCCCCUCCUCCGACGUCCACAGAUCGAGAUGCCAAGAUUUAUGGGGGAGGUGCUGUAGGCACGGUGGGAUCGCCGGAUCUGUGGCCGCCGGCUUCGCCUUCUUCCAGGCUGCCAACGCGGCGGUCCGCGCCCCGGUCUCCCGCGAUCCGCUCUUCGUCAACACCGUCGUUUCCCUCCUCCACUCCUCCCUCACCUCCGCCUCCCGUAUUAGAUCCUCUCCCUAGCCUUCCCUUACCCCGACCCUCCGUUCCCUACCUUUUGCUGUAUGCCGAGAAAUAAUAUAGGUGAACCGUGAAUCCGUGAUUGCUGAUUAGCACAUGCAAAGUAGGUCUCAGCUUCGAGGUGAUUCACUAGUAUUAAGAUCCAACUUAAAAGUGGGGGCAAGAGGUCAGAAUUAUUUCAUUCACAAAUCCUGUAAAAAGGACAUAUCAGCUGCGAAAUAUAACUGAGAUGUCAUCGGUGGAAGUGUUCUGAUUAGUGUCGACGUUUUCAUCAUGCGAUUAAACUCUUCAGUGUCAAUAUGGUGCAUUUGAGCAUGUCUUUUGCGAAAAUAGACCACUGCUUUUGUCUUCUGAAAUGCAUAACGGGGUAUUGUUUGUCAGUAUUAGUAUAUUAUAUACCGUAAUGGAUUAAUGGGUUAGUAACAAAGCUCUGGUUUUAUUGGAACCAGUCACGAAGAUGGAAGCACUCUCUGGUGGGAUGUACGAAAGCCUGGGUCACCUAUAUCUUCAGUGAAGUAUCAUUCAGAAUCAGCUUUAUCCCUUGCUAUCGAUGGGUCUUGCAAUGGUGGAAUCUCAGGAGGCACUGAUGAUAAAGUAGUCAUUUUCAUGCUUGAUCAUCCAAAGGACUCUCGUGGCAAUGGGCUGGAAAGUACAGUGAUCCUAGCAGGCUGUGCCGAUGCUGUUUGUUGCUGGGGACUCAUUGCAGCCAGCAUCAUGUGGAUGGAUUCCAGUAUUUAUUAAUAGAUUAGUUGCUUCAGAUCUAAUGUGGAAAAAGCCGGAGUGGCAUGUUGCCUUUGGUUUUGUUUCAAAAAGAAUGCUGCCUUUGGUUUCUAAAUCAGAAGUGGUUGUCCAUACAGCCUACCUGAACUCAGAAGCCUGUGAUCUUCACUGCUUCAGCUCUCACAAGUCAGAAUUCAGAAGUGGUUGUUUGAGCAGGAGCUAAAUCAAUAGCAGGAGCUGAAGCCAUGGAGCUGAUGACUAUUAUGUAAAAUUUAUGCUUCUGUUCUUGACUGGUGUAUGAUAUAUGCGUCUUUAUUUUAUCUUCCAAGGAAAUAGACCUGGAAAGGACCAUGCAUGGUUGAGAGACCGUGCCUUCCUAUCGUGCGCAUGUAAAUUUUUUUCUUCUUUCUGUAACACUAAUGCAAUCAACUCUUUGGCUU
Long non-coding RNA from Panicum virgatum (switchgrass), 1451 nucleotides. RefSeq lists it as uncharacterized. Lineage: Eukaryota; Viridiplantae; Streptophyta; Magnoliopsida; Poales; Poaceae. The record is from RefSeq and is a predicted model, not a curated record. The transcript has 4 exons.